RNAcentral lists this microRNA precursor (88 nucleotides) under Eutrema salsugineum. Its description in RNAcentral is "mir-156 microRNA precursor family". It matches the Rfam family "mir-156 microRNA precursor family". From Rfam's summary of the family: This family represents the plant microRNA (miRNA) precursor mir-156. Animal miRNAs are transcribed as ~70nt precursors and subsequently processed by the Dicer enzyme to give a ~22nt product. Lineage: Eukaryota; Viridiplantae; Streptophyta; Magnoliopsida; Brassicales; Brassicaceae. The record is from Rfam by way of RNAcentral.
UUGACAGAAGAGAGUGAGCACACAAAGGGGAAGUUGUAUAAAAAUCUCUUUUACGGUUGCUUUUGCGUGCUCACUCUCUUUCUGUCAU